This 401-nucleotide long non-coding RNA is filed under the name Cicer arietinum (chickpea). Its description in RNAcentral is "long non-coding RNA (CARI_LNC003384)". The record is from RNAcentral. Lineage: Eukaryota; Viridiplantae; Streptophyta; Magnoliopsida; Fabales; Fabaceae.
UGAAGUUGUAUUCCAUCAUCACAUAGCAAGGUUUGAAAGUCAAAGAUGGGAAUUGUUGGUAAGGGAUUGGUUUCAUCAUUUGAUAGAAUGGAAGGUUCUUUAUUUGAUCGAAUAAAAUAUUCUGGUAUUCCCAUUAUUUCAGGUUUAUUGAUCACUUCAUCCAUCACACCAAGAAAAGAAUUAGGAGUGCUCCUAAAGACACUAUUACCCUCCUCAGUGGUAAGGGAUUGGUUUCAUCAUUUGAUAGAAUGGAAGGUUCUUUAUUUGAUCGAAUAAAAUAUUCUGGUAUUCCCAUUAUUUCAGGUUUAUUGAUCACUUCAUCCAUCACACCAAGAAAAGAAUUAGGAGUGCUCCUAAAGACACUAUUACCCUCCUCAGAUAAUGCCAUCUUCAGCUCUGAA